Long non-coding RNA from Trichoplusia ni (cabbage looper), 407 nucleotides. RefSeq lists it as uncharacterized. The transcript is spliced from 7 exons. NCBI's taxonomy places the organism in Eukaryota, Metazoa, Arthropoda, Insecta, Lepidoptera, Noctuidae. The record is from RefSeq and is a predicted model, not a curated record.
UAAGUCAUGCGAGGCAGUUUUAUCUCAAACUUUUGGAAGUAAAGAGUUAAAAUAUAAUCAUGAAAUUCACGGUUGUUCUUUUGUUGGUCGCUAUGGUUACCAUCACCAUGGCCAAGCCUCAAGGUGUUAACGUCGUUGACGGACAACACCAAAUUGACUUCGUAAAUGGAGAGAGCCAAGUAAACUUCGUCAACGGUGAGGAACAAGUGAACGUCGUCGAUGGUCCGUCAGGAGGUCAAGCACGGGACGGGUCGAAGUAAUUAGUAAAACCUAGUAUAAGUUUAAUUAGAAUAAGCAAAAUUUCAAAUAAAUAAUUCAAUACCACAAACUCUACAGUAUAAUUCAAUUCAAAUAACACAAACAAUCUUGUAAGAUCUAAUGACAAUAUAAACAUAUUCAAUACACUA